This 374-nucleotide ribosomal RNA is filed under the name uncultured prokaryote. Its description in RNAcentral is "bacterial SSU rRNA". It matches the Rfam family "Bacterial small subunit ribosomal RNA", at positions 524 to 896 of the family's 1533-position model. The record is from RNAcentral.
UACGUAGGGUGCGAGCGUUAAUCGGAAUUACUGGGCGUAAAGGGUGCGCAGGCGGUUCCGCAAGUCAGGCGUGAAAGCCCCGGGCUUAACCUGGGAAUGGCGCUUGAAACUACGGGACUAGAGUGUGGCAGAGGGAGGUGGAAUUCCACGUGUAGCGGUGAAAUGCGUAGAUAUGUGGAGGAACACCAAUGGCGAAGGCAGCCUCCUGGGUCAACACUGACGCUCAUGCACGAAAGCGUGGGGAGCAAACAGGAUUAGAUACCCUGGUAGUCCACGCCCUAAACGAUGAUGACUAGUUGUUGGAGGAGUUAAAUCCUUUAGUAACGCAGCUAACGCGAGAAGUCAUCCGCCUGGGGAGUACGGUCGCAAGAUUA